Molecule: ribosomal RNA, 1175 nt
Filed under: human gut metagenome
Description: bacterial LSU rRNA
Rfam family: Bacterial large subunit ribosomal RNA
Source: RNAcentral
CCCUCGGAGCGUUGGGGGGUGGCACAGACCAGGGGGUAGCGACUGUUUACCAAAAACACAGGUGCAUGCGAAGGCGCAAGCCGCUGUAUAUGCACUGACGCCUGCCCGGUGCCGGAAGGUUAAGAGGAUCCGUCAGCCUUCGGGUGAAGCGGUGAAUUCAAGCCCCGGUAAACGGCGGUGGUAACUAUAACCAUCCUAAGGUAGCGAAAUUCCUUGUCGGGUAAGUUCCGACCUGCACGAAUGGCGUAACGACUUCCCCACUGUCUCGACCAGGAGCUCGGCGAAAUUGCAGUACGAGUAAAGAUGCUCGUUAAGCGCAGAAGGACGAAAAGACCCCGGGACCUUUACUAUACCUUGGUAUUGGCGUUAGGCGCGGAUUGUGUAGCAUAGGCGGGAGGCUUCGAAGCAUGGGCGCCAGCCCGUGUGGAGCCGCAAGGUGAAAUACCGCUCUGUUCUCGUUUGACGUCUCACCUCGAACAGUCAUCCUGUUCAGGGACAGUGCCUGGCGGGUAGUUUAACUGGGGCGGUUGCCUCCCAAAGAGUAACGGAGGCGCCCAAAGGUCCGCUCAGCCCGGUUGGCAAUCGGGUGGCGAGUGCAAGUGCACAAGCGGGCUUGACUGCGAGGACGACGGUCCGAGCAGGGACGAAAGUCGGGACUAGUGAUCCGGUGCCGGUGUACGGACGCGGCAUCGCUCAACGGAUAAAAGGUACCCCGGGGAUAACAGGCUGAUCAUUCCCAAGAGUCCAUAUCGACGGGAUGGUUUGGCACCUCGAUGUCGGCUCGUCGCAUCCUGGGGCUGGAGCAGGUCCCAAGGGUUCGGCUGUUCGCCGAUUAAAGCGGCACGCGAGCUGGGUUCAGAACGUCGUGAGACAGUUUGGUCUCUAUCCUCUGCGCUCGUUGGAAUCCUGAGGAGGCCUGCCCAUAGUACGAGAGGACCUGGGUGGACGGACCUCUGGUAUGCCGGUUGUCGCGCCAGCGGCAUGGCCGGUUGGCUACGUUCGGGAGGGAUAACCGCUGAAAGCAUCUAAGCGGGAAGCCUGCUCCAAGAUUAGGAUUCCUUGACGCUCCCCGGAGCGCCUGUAGCCCGCAUGUGGAACACGUGUUCGAUAGGCCGGAGGUGGAAGCCCCGCGAGGGGUGGAGCCGACCGGUACUAACGGGCGAACGCGGCACACU